CUGUCCCCCAGCCUGACACCAGUAAAGGGUCUGUGCUGAGGAGGGUUAGUAAAAGAGGAAGGAACGCCUCUUUGCAGUUGAGAUAAGAGGAAGGCAUCUGUCUCCUGCUCCUCCCUGGGCAAUGGAAUGUCUCGGUGUAAAGUCCAAUUGUAUAUUCCAUCUACUGAGAUAGGGGAAAACUGCCUUAGGGCUGGAGGUGGGACAUGCUGGCAGCAAUACUGCUCUUUAAGGCAUUGAGAUGUUUAUGUAUAUGCACAUCAAAAGCACAGCACUUUUUUCUUUACCUUGUUUAUGAUGCAGAGACAUUUGUUCACGUGUUUACCUGCUGAUCUUCUCUCCACUAUUAUCCUAUUGUCCUGCCACAUCAAAAGCACAGCACUUUUUUCUUUACCUUGUUUAUGAUGCAGAGACAUUCGUUCACCUGUUUACCUGCUGAUCUUCUCUCCACUAUUAUCCUAUUGUCCUGCCACAUCCCCCUCUCCGGGAAAUGCCCGAUAAUGAUCAAUAAAUAGUAAGGGAAUUCAGAGGCCGGU
Molecule: long non-coding RNA, 533 nt
Filed under: Homo sapiens (human)
Lineage: Eukaryota; Metazoa; Chordata; Mammalia; Primates; Hominidae
Description: HSALNT0323692
Source: RNAcentral